GCAAGUCGAGCGGUUGAGAGAAGCUGGCUUCUCUUGAGAGCGGCGGACGGGUGAGUAAUGGUUAGGAAUCUGCCUAGUGGUGGGGGAUAACGUUUGGAAACGGACGCUAAUACCGCAUACGUCCUACGGGUGAAAGCGGGGGACCUUCGGGCCUCGCGCCAUUAGAUGAGCCUAGGUCGGAUUAGCUAGUUGGUGAGGUAAUGGCUCACCAAGGCUACGAUCCGUAACUGGUCUGAGAGGAUGAUC
This 246-nucleotide ribosomal RNA is filed under the name uncultured bacterium. RNAcentral describes it as "partial 16S ribosomal RNA". It matches the Rfam family "Bacterial small subunit ribosomal RNA", at positions 57 to 305 of the family's 1533-position model. The record is from RNAcentral.